Molecule: long non-coding RNA, 236 nt
Organism: Octopus sinensis (East Asian common octopus)
Lineage: Eukaryota; Metazoa; Mollusca; Cephalopoda; Octopoda; Octopodidae
Exons: 2
Source: RefSeq, a predicted model, not a curated record
UCAGCAUUGUGUAGAAUGGAUUGUGACAGUAGAAGCUGAAUGAAAAGCACUGGAGGAAGCUGCUGCCCAAUGCAGUGAGCAAAAGUCAGUCUGCUUUGAAUUGUAGACAGGAGCGGCUUUGAAUGAAGUUUUAAUUAUCUGUUUCCUAGGCAACAAGCAGAGCAUCAAUGAUGUUGUUAAUCAGGUGAUAUGAAACCAUUUUGUCAUCUGUUUCAAAAGCUGGGACAAAGACCAUU